This 3442-nucleotide long non-coding RNA is filed under the name Daucus carota (carrot). RNAcentral describes it as "long non-coding RNA (DCAR_LNC000885)". The record is from RNAcentral. Lineage: Eukaryota; Viridiplantae; Streptophyta; Magnoliopsida; Apiales; Apiaceae.
GUCUCUCCGGGUACCUUCAGUACAAGAACGUGCCAAGGAAAAAUCUGCCACAGUUCCAUCACGAUACAUUCAUUCUGAUCAAGAUCCUGUAAUUCUCAGUUCGACAGAUCUACCUGAAGUCCCUGUGAUUGAUAUGGAGAUCUUACUUCAUGGAGAUUUAAUGGACGCUGAGCUCAAUAAAUUUCACCAAGCAUGCAAAGAGUGGGGAUUCUUUCAGGUACACUAUUUUUAAGAUUAAUUUAUUUUUUUAGAGGAUGCUACUUGAAAAAAAAAAAAACUAGAUUACAACGCAUCUUUGCAGUUAAUAAACCAUGGUGUUAGCGAUUCAUUACUGGAGAAGGUGAAAACAGAGGUCGUGGAGUUCUUUAAGCUGCCACUUGAAGAGAAGAGAAAGUUUGGUCAACUGGAUGGAGAUAUAGAGGGAUAUGGACAAUCCUUCGUUGUCUCGGAGGAGCAAAAGCUUGAUUGGGCUGAUAUGAUCUACAUGAUCACCCUUCCUACUGAUCUCAGGAAACCGCACUUAUUGCCACAACUACCUCAUUCAUUCAGGUAACACAAAAUUUCUCUUAUAUUAAGGCUUUUGCAGUAAUUUCUCCUACCUCCCGAAUGAGCCAACUGACAUGCAUCAACCCAUAACAAAUAUGCAGAAAUGCUAUAGAGGAUUAUGCGGUGGAAUUGAAAAGCCUAGCCAUGAAUAUUCUCAAUCUAAUGGCCAAAGCUCUUCAAACGAAUCCUGAGGAAAUGGAAGUUCUCUUUGAAGAAGGCAUGCAAUCAAUGAGGAUGAACCACUAUCCUCCAUGCCCUCAACCGGAACAGGUUAUAGGGCUCACGCCCCACAGCGAUGCUUCUGGCUUCACUAUCCUUUUUCAACUGAAUGAAAUUGACGGCCUACAGAUUAGAAAGGACGGUACUUGGAUUCCAAUAAAACCGUUGCCUUCUGCCUUUGUUAUCAACAUCGGAGAUGUUCUGGAGGUAAAAUUAACUAUUUUAAAUUUUUAUUGCUUGUAAAUGGAUGGACUAACAUGACUUAAUCUGUAGGUUAUAACCAAUGGAACUUAUCAUAGCAUUGAGCAUAGAGGAGUUGUCAACUCAGUGAAGGAGAGAAUGUCAAUUGCUACAUUUUUAAGCCCCAAGGUAGAUGCAGAAUUCGGUCCUGCACCAAGCCUUCUCACGUCCCAAGCUCCUCCAAAGUUUAAAUGGAUUGCUGCUGCAGAUUUCUUUAAAGGAUAUUUUGCACAGAAGCUUGCUGGGAAAUGUUAUCUAGACACUCUACGAAUAUAAACCUAAUAUAUUUGGCUUUAUGCACCUGAGCUUCUUCAGUAAAUAAACCUGCAGCAUCCUACGGAUCGCUAACAAAGAAUCUGCUGCAAUUUCCACAAUGUAGACAGACUUAUUGUCUAUGCAACAGAUUGUAAUAAACUUUUCAUUGCAAUUUCCCUUGUUUCACUCGAGCUUCACGCAACAUUAACAAAUGUAGUCAAAAGUAGAUAUGUAGUAAUCUGCAUAGUUUAGUAAAUGAUGAGCUUAGAGCUAAACAAUAAUUUAUCAGCAAUGAUAGAAUGAAUUAGAAACUCCAUGUAUUUCUUAAAUUAUGCAUAUAAUUUACUUCCGAAUACGAGAACAGUGAAAACAGGAAGCAGUAAGCACACAGGAACUUUGUUUUACAACUCAUAGUCAAGAUUAGGUAACUUAGAGAAGCAUAUAUUUCAUUUAUUCAUUUAAAACUGAAAAAAUGUGCCUAAUAAUCAAGUUUCAUACAUAUUCUUCUGCGAAGAACGAGUUUCACAGGAGCCACAUGUUCGAGCCAAAAUAAUUAAACAAGCCAAGCCAUAUGUAGAUUCAUCAGCCAGAUAGACAUGAUAACAACAAUUGACAACUUUUUCCAAUAUCAUAAGGAAUUCAAACAACGAAAAGGCUAAUGAUGUUAAGUACCAGACAGUAUGAAUGAUGAAAUGUUUGUAUAAAAAGGGCCUAAUUAGUGAUGGUUUACAACUUGAUCAUUUAAUGAACUCUGUUAAGUACGAGGAAGGUUCUCUAAGGAUAGUGACAUGAAAUGGACUUUGUGCACUACAUCCAAUCACAGGUAGUGAAAGAUUUCAUGUGAUUUUUAUAAUGUUGGCUUGUUAAAGAGUAUUGUCUUUGUUUUAUAAUUUUGAGUAUAAAAAUUGAUUAUAGAAAUUUGAAAAUUCUCAAACCCUAAUAUACUCUCUAUUAUUGAAGUAGCCGUCUCUGUCAUCAGUGGGGCUUCCAUCGGUUUUCAACAGUGGAGAGCCCCAAAUCUUUUGUUUGUUUCAUCUUAUUUUUUUCUUUCAAUAAUCUUACUCGUUGAGGAAGGAUUUGUCUCAUUUGAUUUGUUUUUUAGACCUACAUCAUCGGAGCUUACAGUUUACUUUUUUAUUUGAUUGAAGCGGAGCUUAUCGGAUACGAGAGUUACUCGUUCUUCUUGUGGUUUUGACGGUUAGAUCUAAGUUUUUUUAAUUUUCAUUUGUUUUCAGUCUACUUUUAUUUCGAUUGGUAAUUUGUAUUUUCAGGUUGUUUUCUCUCCCUGGUGAGAGCUUUGUUUUUCGCUUCUUAAUUGUAAGCGGGGUCUUGAUUUGGUGAUGAAAGUUUGUAUGGAAUCGCAAGUCGAUAGCUCAAACGAUAGCUCUAUCAGGGCAUGAUGAAGAGGGUAACAAUAAACGAGAAUGCAUGAAGCGAGUACUUGUAUUAGUAUAUACAUUUUCUUCAAAAAAUUGUUUAAUUGUCUCUUUAUAAGAACAGGCGAUUGCAAUAUACUCUUUGUUCGACUCCAUCAUUGGUGUAGAUGUCGUAUGACUUUUUAUUAUUAGAUUAACACUUUUGUUUCAAAAAAAAUUUGAUUAUAAUGUUCGUUUGGUACCUCACAAACUAACAAAUCUUAAUAGUCCCUUCAAAUAUAUACAGAAAUCUCAUGUAAAUUUGGAUUUUGUACAUACAAAUUCAUGAACUUGUCAAUAAAAUGUAGAUUGUCGGAAUGUAUCUUUUGCAUAAAGAAAUUUCGCCCCUCCAAAUUUUUUCUGGUUCCGUCCCUGCGAACGCUCAAUUCAGCUAUAAAUACAUGAGUAAUAUUGCUCUACAGUAUAUUCUAGAUAUUCACCUCAUACACGCACAGUAAGAAAGAAAGAGGUCAUAGCAAUUGAUAGAAAGAAUGGAAGCAUCAAAAGUAGAAAAAAUAGGGAGGUCUCUCCAGGUACCUUCAGUACAAGAACUGGCCAAGGAUGAAUCUGCCACAGUUCCAUCACAAUACAUUCAUUCUGAUCAAGAUCCUGUAAUUCUCAGUUCGACAGAUCUACCUGAAGUCCCUGUGAUUGAUAUGGAGAUCUUACUUCAUGGAGAUUUAAUGGACGCUGAGCUCAAUAAAUUUCACCAAGCAUGCAAAGAGUGGGGAUUCUUUCAGGUACACUAUGUUUAAGAUUAAUUUAUU